RNAcentral lists this ribosomal RNA (1163 nucleotides) under Candidatus Kaiserbacteria bacterium. Its description in RNAcentral is "partial 23S ribosomal RNA". It matches the Rfam family "Bacterial large subunit ribosomal RNA", at positions 2479 to 2915 of the family's 2925-position model. The record is from RNAcentral. Lineage: Bacteria; Candidatus Kaiseribacteriota.
AGGCUGGUUUCGCCUAAGAGUCCAAAUCGACGGCGAAGUUCGGCACCUCGAUGUCGGCUCAUCUUAUCCCGGGGCUGGAGAAGGUCCCAAAGGUAUGGCUGUUCGCCAUUUAAAAAGGUACGUGAGCUGGGUUCAAACCGUAGGGUAGUUGUUAGCCACUAGGGAAUAGCCACUAGUGGAAAACGAACGACUAUCGUACGGUUUGAGCCCCGAGGGAAAUGACAUCAUCACGGCGGUCUCCCUUAGAAAUAGGGGAGUAAGAAGUUGACUAUAUCGGGGGAAUCCUAUGGACGACAAACUGUCGUAUGCUAGGAUAAUACCGAGGGAAGUCGCACAUGAAAUUCACACCAACAGAACGAGCGUACAUAGCCGGCUUUUUAGACGGCGAUGGAAGCAUCUAUGUCCAAGCGAAGAAGAACGACACGUAUCGGUACGGCUACCAAGUCGCGCCUGCAAUCGUUUUCUUCCAAUCAGCGAAGUCAGAAAAACUCUUCCGAGAGUUCUACGAGUUCCUGAAUCUUGGGUUGAUGCGAAAGCGCAAUGACGGAGUUAUGGAAAUUACGGUCGGUCGGAUGGCAGAACUUCUGCAACUGAUUGAAGUUGUAAAACCAUACACACGUCUCAAGCGCAAACAACUCGAACUACUGGAACAAAUUCUGGAAGCCAAAGAGGCGGUAGGAGAUAGAAAGAGCUUUUCGAAUCUUCUUAGGCUUAUUGAUGGUUAUCGGAACCUGAAUUAUUCCAAGAAAAGAAAUGUGUUGACCCCGUAGAGACUAAACGUCAACCACCCUAACUCAAGCUGAGAGGGUGAAGAUAUAGUCCAAUGCACACAGUAAUGUGUGGAACGUCCGGCUAUUGCAGAUGGCUGGAAAUAACAUGCGUGAGACAGGUUGGUCUUAAUCUGCUGCAGGCGUUGAUUCUUGAGGAGAUUUGUUUCUAGUACGAGAGGACCGAAAUGAACUGACCUCUGGUCUGGGGGCUGUACCACCAGGUGCACCGCCCCGUAGCUAUGUCGGGAAAGGAUAACCGCUGAAAGCAUCUAAGCGGGAAGCCAACUCCAAGAUCAGGAAUCGUUAUGAGGCUCGUGGGAGAUGACCACGUUGAUAGGCACCAGGUGGAAGCGCAGUAAUGCGUGUAGCCGAGGUGUACUAAUCCGCCCACAG